CCUACGGGUCGCACCAGUGGGGAAUAUUGCACAAUGGGCGCAAGCCUGACGCAGCCAUGCCGCGUGUAUGAAGAAGGCCUUCGGGUUGUAAAGCACUUUCAGCGAGGAGGAAGGUGGUGAGCUUAAUACGCUCAUCAAUUGACGUUACUCGCAGAAGAAGCACCGGCUAACUCCGUGCCAGCAGCCGCGGUAAUACGGAGGGUGCAAGCGUUAAUCGGAAUUACUAGGCGUAAAGCGCACGCAGGCGGUUUGUUAAGUCAGAUGUGAAAUCCCCGGGCUCAUCCUGGGAACUGCAUUUGAAACUGGCAAGCUGGAGUCUCGUAGAGGGGGGUAGAAUUCCAGGUGUAGCGGUGAAAUGCGUAGAGAUCUGGAGGAAUACCGGUGGCGAAGGCGGCCCCCUGGACGAAGACUGACGCUCAGGUGCGAAAGCGUGGGGAGCAAACAGGAUUAGAUACCCGUGUAGUC
This 465-nucleotide ribosomal RNA is filed under the name uncultured bacterium. RNAcentral's name for it is "bacterial SSU rRNA". It matches the Rfam family "Bacterial small subunit ribosomal RNA", at positions 338 to 795 of the family's 1533-position model. The record is from RNAcentral.